CGCGUAGGCGGUUUUUUAAGUCAGAGGUGAAAGCCCAGUGCUCAACACUGGAACUGCCUUUGAAACUGGAAAACUUGAAUCUUGGAGAGGUCAGUGGAAUUCCGAGUGUAGAGGUGAAAUUCGUAGAUAUUCGGAAGAACACCAGUGGCGAAGGCGACUGACUGGACAAGUAUUGACGCUGAGGUGCGAAAGCGUGGGGAGCAAACA
This 207-nucleotide ribosomal RNA is filed under the name uncultured bacterium. RNAcentral describes it as "partial 16S ribosomal RNA". It matches the Rfam family "Bacterial small subunit ribosomal RNA", at positions 568 to 774 of the family's 1533-position model. The record is from RNAcentral.